GGAUAACCCGGAGGAAUCCGGCCUAAUACCGCAUGUGGCCGAGGGGAGGCAUCUUCUUUCGGCCAAAGGAGGCGACUCCGGAGACGGAUGGGCAUGCGUGACAUUAGCUUGUUGGCGGGGUAACGGCCCACCAAGGCGACGAUGUCUAGGGGUUCUGAGAGGAAGGUCCCCCACACUGGUACUGAGACACGGACCAGACUCCUACGGGAGGCAGCAGUGAGGAAUAUUGGUCAAUGGGCGAGAGCCUGAACCAGCCAAGUCGCGUGAAGGAUGACGGCCCUACGGGUUGUAAACUUCUUUUGUCAGGGAGCAAUUGGGUCCACGUGUGGGCUUAGCGAGAGUACCUGAAGAAAAAGCAUCGGCUAACUCCGUGCCAGCAGCCGCGGUAAUACGGAGGAUGCGAGCGUUAUCCGGAUUUAUUGGGUUUAAAGGGUGCGUAGGCGGAAUAUCAAGUCAGCGGUAAAAAUUCGGGGCUCAACCCCGUCGUGCCGUUGAAACUGAUGUUCUUGAGUGGGCGAGAAGUAUGCGGAAUGCGUGGUGUAGCGGUGAAAUGCAUAGAUAUCACGCAGAACUCCGAUUGCGAAGGCAGCAUACCGGCGCCCAACUGACGCUGAAGCACGAAAGCGUGGGUAUCGAACAGGAUUAGAUACCCUGGUAGUCCACGCAGUAAACG
This 673-nucleotide ribosomal RNA is filed under the name uncultured bacterium. RNAcentral describes it as "bacterial SSU rRNA". It matches the Rfam family "Bacterial small subunit ribosomal RNA", at positions 141 to 808 of the family's 1533-position model. The record is from RNAcentral.